GUAGUUUUGGACAAAGAACAGGCAAUAUGCUAAUUCACUUGAUUAUUUACCUGGACAUUUUCAUUGUCAGCAUCGUCUGGGCCAGUUGAUGUAACCUAUGCUGAGAUUGACCUAAAAAAGAUGGUCAAAACCCAGAAGAAGAAAAAAUCAACAACCCACCAGAGUCAGAAUCAGUCUAUUCUCCAAUAAAGACAUUUCCAGACCACAGUAAGACUAGAUCACAUCUAUUAAAGGGUCCUUGAGGGAGAUGAACACAAUCAGUUGAGGAACAGGAACAACCAGGGAACAUGGAUGUGGUUUUUGUACCCACACUCUCCCUGUAAACACAGAAAUGUGACACAGACAUCACACACCCAGUCACAUAUGGACCACACACACAAUAAUGCCUUAUACAUGAAGGAUAUGUAUCAUACUAUGCUG
Long non-coding RNA from Esox lucius (northern pike), 420 nucleotides. RefSeq lists it as uncharacterized. The record is from RefSeq and is a predicted model, not a curated record. NCBI's taxonomy places the organism in Eukaryota, Metazoa, Chordata, Actinopteri, Esociformes, Esocidae. The transcript has 3 exons.